Molecule: ribosomal RNA, 404 nt
Filed under: uncultured bacterium
Lineage: Bacteria
Description: bacterial SSU rRNA
Rfam family: Bacterial small subunit ribosomal RNA
Source: RNAcentral
AACGAACGCUGGCGGCAGGCUUAACACAUGCAAGUCGAACGGCAGCACGGGUGCUUGCACCUGGUGGCGAGUGGCGAACGGGUGAGUAAUGCACCGGAACGUAUCCAAUAAUGGGGGAUAACGCACCGAAAGGUGUGCUAAUACCGCAUACGCCCUGAGGGGGAAGGCGGGGGAUCGUAAGACCUCGCGUUAAUGGAGCGGCCGAUGCCGGAUUAGCUAGUUGGUGAGGUAAAGGCUCACCAAGGCGACGAUCCGUAGCUGGUCUGAGAGGACGACCAGCCACACUGGAACUGAGACACGGUCCAGACUCCUACGGAGGCAGCAGUGGGGAAUUUUGGACAAUGGGCGCAAGCCUGAUCCAGCCAUGCCGCGUGAGUGAAGAAGGCCUUCGGGUUGGUUAAAGG